AGUAACGGCGAGUGAAGCGGCAACAGCUCAAAUUUGAAAUCUGGCCCCUUCGGGGUCCGAGUUGUAAUUUGUAGAGAGUGUUUCGGGUGAGACCACGGUCUAAGUCUAUUGGAACAUUACGUCAUAGAGGGUGAGAACCCCGUAUGCGACCGUGGCUCGAGCCCAUGUGAAGCCUCUUCGACGAGUCGAGUUGUUUGGGAAUGCAGCUCAUAAUGGGUGGUAAAUUUCAUCUAAAGCUAAAUACUGGCUGGAGACCGAUAGCGCACAAGUAGAGUGAUCGAAAGAUGAAAAGCACUUUGGAAAGAGAGUCAAACAGUACGUGAAAUUGUUGAAAGGGAAGCGCUGGCAACCAGACCUGUCCGUGGGCGAUCAGCCGCUGUUCUCAGCGGUGCACUCGUUCCGCGAUCAGGCCAGCAUCGGUUUCGGCGGUCGGAUAAAGGCCCGGGGAACGUGGCUCCCUCCCGGGGGAGUGUUAUAGCCCCGGGCGCAAUGCGGCCAGCCGGGACCGAGGACCGCGCUUCGGCUAGGAUGCUGGCGUAAUGGUUGUCAGCGACCCGUCUUGAAACACGGACCAAGGAGUCUAACAUCUAUGCGAGUGUUUGGGUGUCAAACCCAUGCGCGGAAUGAAAGUGAACGGAGGUGAGAACCCUUUAGGGCGCAACAUCGACCGAUCCAGAUGUCUUCGGAUGGAUUUGAGUAUGAGCAUAGCUGUUGGGACCCGAAAGAUGGUGAACUAUGCCUGAAUAGGGUGAAGCCAGAGGAAACUCUGGUGGAGGCUCGCAGCGGUUCUGACGUGCAAAUCGAUCGUCAAAUUUGGGUAUAGGGGCGAAAGACUAAUCGAAACCAUCUGGUAGCCUGGGUU
Molecule: ribosomal RNA, 862 nt
Filed under: Hypotrachyna bogotensis
Lineage: Eukaryota; Fungi; Ascomycota; Lecanoromycetes; Lecanorales; Parmeliaceae
Description: eukaryotic LSU rRNA
Rfam family: Eukaryotic large subunit ribosomal RNA
Source: RNAcentral